This 263-nucleotide ribosomal RNA is filed under the name uncultured bacterium. Its description in RNAcentral is "partial 16S ribosomal RNA". It matches the Rfam family "Bacterial small subunit ribosomal RNA", at positions 88 to 354 of the family's 1533-position model. The record is from RNAcentral.
UAUCUUAGUGGCGACGGGUGAGUAACGCGUGGGUAACCUGCCUUAUACAGGGGGAUAACACUUAGAAAUAGGUGCUAAUACCGCAUAAGCGCACGGGGCUGCAUGGCCCAGUGUGAAAACUCCGGUGGUAUAAGAUGGACCCGCGUCUGAUUAGCUUGUUGGCGGGUAACGGCCCACCAAGGCGACGAUCAGUAGCCGGCCUGAGAGGGUGGACGGCCACAUUGGGACUGAGACACGGCCCAAACUCCUACGGAAGGCAGCAG